GGGUAAAGCAAAGUCUUCAAGGGAAGAUAACAAAGGAUGAAACAAUGGUGUUGUGUGACUUCCUAGUGUGAAUCAUGGCAAUACAGUGAAAGACAGUGAUUUACUGCUUUUGAGGGCGUGCAUGUAUAUGAUUAACGGAUGGAAGUGCAGGACUCCAAGAUUUACUUCCUUCCCUUUCCAGCAGAAUUACCUGAGACGAGUAAAAUCUACUGGUGGAGUCACUCCAUUAUUCUUAUCUGUGGAGAUCUAGAUCUUGAUUUGAAAGUUUCUGAGAAAAUCUUCAGCUCAGACUUGAGGGUCAACUUUACCAGCUGAAGGAUCUGCAUUUACUGCUCAACCACAUCUAAUUUGAUGUCCUCUGCAGAUUUAAAAUGUGUGCCUUCUUUUCCGUCACCAAGUCAUCCCUGGGUUACUACUGAACAUCCUUCUCAAUUCCCCCCGACCCAUGGAUGGCUGUUCUCCAUUGUCUGUUUCACCAGAUGUCCUCAAAACAAACAGACAGAAGAAGGAAGUGGCUAAUGGAGCUGUGGAGUCCAAGUGUGACUGCCAAGAGGAAUCCAGCAAAGCCAAAAAGCCCAAGCAUGUAGCCCUGCCCGAAGCACGCCACACGCAUGGAAAACCCAGAGGAAAUGAGUGAGGAUCAAUGGGAAGAAGAGAGCCAGCCAGGUUCGAUGCCUUCUCCAUCCGUCAGUGAGGGUGUGGAGAGCCUGCAGGCGUGUGCCUCCCUCUGUAACUUGCUAUUCCUUGUGUAAUGUCAAGUGGAAGUGUGAAGCACCACAAACUGCUCUGAGCAGAGCCCACUUCCCUUCACCCACGGAGAGCGUGAAGCAGUUACACCAACAUCAAUCAAGGAAAACCCACAGGCUGAGCUCACACGGUUGAAGCAGGAAGUUGAAGAUUUGUCCAGGAGCAGAUAGCUGAAGAGAGAGAGAGAGAAGAGAGAACGGCUUACAGCUCAGGUCCUCUCUCCAUGCUUAGGAACCACUACAAAUGCUACUGCCUUGAGUCUCAUUUUGUUUCCCUCUGGAAACCACAUGUGUACCUUGUUUGCAACAGUAUGGUUCUGGAGACCAGAAGGCCAAAAUCAAAAGUAUGGGCAGGCUUGAUUUCUUUAGAAGACUCCAGCGGAGAACUGUGUCUCCUUGCUUCUGAUUCUACAUCUCCAUCCAUGGGCCACUGUUUCAGCAACCUCAGCCAGUGCAACACAACCUCAGCCAAGAAGAUUUGUUAGACUUUGGAUGGUGGAGACCUGUGCCUGCUACUUCUCUCAUCUCCUGAUACCUAAUGCAUAGUGUUCAGGCACCGAGGAAGAGAACCAAUGGCAGAGGCCACAUGUGCAAGCAAGAUGGGAGUCUGGAGAGCCUCAGGCUAAAUCACGAGUGCUCAGCCCUCUCCUCUUUGUAAGGGCAACCGGGUCAUAUCUGCCAGCAUAGAACUGCUCUGUCCACAGCCCUAAAAUCUAAUACCUAGAACAAUAAAUGCACUUAAGCACGUCAA
This 1497-nucleotide long non-coding RNA is filed under the name Homo sapiens (human). RNAcentral describes it as "cancer susceptibility 15". Lineage: Eukaryota; Metazoa; Chordata; Mammalia; Primates; Hominidae. The record is from RNAcentral.